UACGAAGGGGGCUAGCGUUGUUCGGAAUCAUUGGGCGUAAAGCGCGCGUAGGCGGUUGCUUAUGUCGGAUGUGAAAGCCCUCGGCUUAACUGAGGAAGUGCAUCCGAAACUGGGCAGCUAGAGUACGAAAGAGGGUCGCGGAAUUCCCGGUGUAGAGGUGAAAUUCGUAGAUAUCGGGAGGAACACCGGUGGCGAAGGCGGCGACCUGGGUCGAGACUGACGCUGAGGCGCGAAAGCGUGGGGAGCAAACAGG
This 253-nucleotide ribosomal RNA is filed under the name uncultured bacterium. RNAcentral's name for it is "partial 16S ribosomal RNA". It matches the Rfam family "Bacterial small subunit ribosomal RNA", at positions 524 to 776 of the family's 1533-position model. The record is from RNAcentral.